RNAcentral lists this long non-coding RNA (4512 nucleotides) under Brassica napus (rape). Its description in RNAcentral is "long non-coding RNA (BNAP_LNC008896)". The stretch from base 1557 to 1692 matches the Rfam family "mir-172 microRNA precursor family". The record is from RNAcentral. Lineage: Eukaryota; Viridiplantae; Streptophyta; Magnoliopsida; Brassicales; Brassicaceae.
CCAGUUGAAAUUAUUUUUUCAGAAGUGUAACAAUUAAAUUAUUAUAUUUUAUAUGAUUUUGUUCAAGCAAUGUUUACCUCACAUAACGAUAAGAAAGUUGUAGAAAUUGUCUUGCCAGGUCUUGCGAGACCUAUCUGAGGCUUUCUAUCAACAAACAAAUCAGCGACACGGCUCAAAACAGAUUGAUCGAUAUCGGAUUCACGUGUCAAGCCGGUGACAAAACCGAACCGGUUCACUAUCAGCUCUGAACCGAUGACUUCGUCAGCUUUAAGAUGCUCCUUUGCAAACAUCUCCACCAUAACUCGAGGCAUUCUCGUAACCACGACCUUCUUCUUGCACGAGCUGUAAACUUUCCAAGUGUCUAUGCUUACGUCAUCCAUGUAGAACUUAGGCAGGACGGCUCUAGCCACCGAUUGAAUCUCCGGUUCGCGUAAACCAACGGUGGCUACAAAAGUCAUGAGCUUGAGAGCGGCGUUCUUGUAGCUGAAAACGUCAAGGAGUGUGAUUACGGGCCAAAGAAACAGCAAGGCGGCGAAACGAAUUAGACCAGAUGCUUCAAAGGCAACGAGCAUGAAGUAAGAGAAUGGAUCUUCGUUCAGCAGUAUUGUCCCUUCAAAUUCUGACACGACAGAAUCCGAAGUCGCUCUAGCUUCCUCCAUCACCAUUUUUUUUUCUUCUCUUCUUUUUGGUUAUGUGAUCGAAUAUUAAUUUUGUGUCGACUGAUGAGAAUGGAAGAAAGUGAAAUAUAACGUUCUAUGUUAUAAGGUUUGGAUUGAUUGGUAUCUAUUGCAAUGGCAGUUUAUCAAUAUUGCACCUACCGGAAUUGUGCAUGUUUCUAUAUAUUACAAAAUGUUUAGACAAGUCAAUAUUAUAUAGUCAUAGAGAGAUGUCAAAAAAAUAGUGCACGUAAUGUUACGUGUAUAGAACAAAAUUAAUGGUUUUAAACUAACCAAUUAAUUUGGUCCAAACUGUUUUUUAAACUAACAAAUUUGGUCCAAAUUGUUGGCAGAAUGCACCGAAAUUAGGCAAUGGCUACAGCUAAAUAUACGGAUUUAGCUAGGUUACUGACCUUAUUAUAUAAUCACAGCAUAUAGUCCAUGAGAAAAAUAAUUCUAGCUUUAAGUGUAAUGUAUUAAUGUGGCUAUAUUUAGAAUCUGAAACGUGGACAAGUAUCAUGUAAAUGUAAAUUAGUGGUACAGAUUUUUGGUAGAGAUAUUAUUGAUAUAUGUUUCUUUACUGUUUGGAUUUGAUUUUGUUUUGUUUAAUUCGACCGAAGAGAAACUUACCAGUCCAACCGAAUUAGUUUAUUAGGUUCAGUUUAUUUAGUUUGGUUAGAAUUUAUCGUAUAUGUUGUAUAUUUUUCUUCUUCUUGAGUUCUUGUCUUCUUGAGAGAUUUCUUGAUAUUCUCUCGAAUCCGAAAAUCCUUAAUUUUCUGAUUCGCAUAUGUUUUUCUCUAGAUGUAUAUUAAUCCAUUUUUUCUGUCCCUCAGUUUUUCUUCCUGGUGAUAUUCUAUUUUGGUAAACUUAUAUUAAACCUCCUUAAUUCAUGUCCAGUUACUGUUUGCUGUUGGAGCAUCAUCAUGAUUCACAAAUCACCAUAUCAAGUCUAUGCAUAUUCUGUAAAUGAAUCCAUAUAUAAUGAUUUUCUGGUACAUAUAUAUGAGAAUCUUGAUAAUACUGCAGCUGCAAUCAGUGGCUUAGUUACACAUCUAAACAGGUAUGAAUCUCUAGUAUGAAAUAUUUUGUAGUUCAAAUUCUACUAUUAAUCUCUCAGAUAAGCCGGGUCACAAGAAGAUGUGUUUUCUUGUUAAAGCUCUGAGGAUUUAUGGUAUGUUCAUUUGAUAUUUCUAUUUCGUGAGAAAAGUUUGAUCCUCUCGACUAAUCCUAGUUUCCGAAAAUCAUUAAUUUUCUGAUUUCACAUAUAGUUUUAUUUUUAGAUGUACAGUAUAUGGAUCCAUUUUCGUUAUAAAAUAUUUUAUUUAUCUCAGUUUUUCUUCCUAUUGAUCUAUUUUCUGAAUUUAUACUUUUUGAUUAAUUCUUAAAGGUGUUUGCAGGUAUAUUGGAAGAUUAAUCCAUUCUCGACCUUUCUAGACAGGGAAAGUGCUAAACUCCAUUUUUGAAUUAGGAAACAUACAAGUUAGACCAAAUCUCGCACACGGAGGCAUCAUGUCUUUAUCUAUCUCCUGGUUCGUUGCAAAAAAAAAACAUCUUUUAAUCCUUAACAAACUACAAAGAUUGGGAGCGACCACUUCUUUCAAAAGUUUAAUAGUAUUACAAAAAUCAACUCCGCAAUAUCUUUCUAAAAACUUUAUAUGUAACCUUUAACAUUACGGACUGAUUGACAAGGAGAUAUGAAACACCAUUACAACAAGGAGACAAAGGAAGCACUUCUGUAACUUGAUGUCUUUGGUUGAGAUGAAAACUUGUAACGUUUGUCUGGUCAAAUCUUUGAGACUUUGUCCCUCCUUGUUUCUUAUUUUUAUUUUGCCAAGGUGGUACAGCUUCUAGAUUUGCUUUCUCAUCUGUAAAUCAUAUUUCAUUUAUAUGAUAUUUACAUUCCUAGAAAAAAAGUAGUGAUGCACUCUUGGAAUAGUCUGAACCAUAUGGUCAAAUGUAUCGCUUGUGAUAUAAGAUAAUGAUUUCAUAUUAAGUGACGAUAGCCUCGAGACUCGUCACGUGAUUAUCCUUAAGCAUCAUUUAUCUUUUAACCUAACAUUUGAUUUCAUCUUAAAUGAACGAAAAAGAGGUUGAUACUGACGAUGCCACGGAGUUGGCGGUAGGCCAACAGUAACGGAAAAUUGGCAGCCAAAGUCUUCUGGUCAACUAGUUUAUCCAACCAAAUUAGAAAAUGGUUGGCCACUAAUCCAACAUUUUCUUACCAUAUAUAGAAACUUUGUACAAAAAUGUACUAUCUUACAAGAAGACUGUAAAUUUCAAGAGAGAACAACUAAUUGAUACAGAAUAAUUCUAUCAACAAAUUAAUAUUUAGCAAAAAUCAAGAAUUUACAAUAUUGAGUAACAAAACUAUUCAUCCCCAAAUAUUUCUUCAACAUUAGUUAUGGGGAGUUAGUUUACAUCUGAAAAAGAGCAAGAUUUAUAAACAAUAAUACAAACAUCUAUGAAAACAAAAUUCAAUCCAGACUUUAAUCGCAGAUCAAAAUAAAUCAAGAGGAAGCAAUUAAAAACCGGAAUAGUAAUUUACUAAUUUGAUUUUAAUGGAGAAAAGGCUCGAAAGUGCUCACCACCUUCUUCAACUGAUCAAGAAACGAUAAAUACGAUACCGUUCCAUCGUUUCCAGCAAGAACCCUAUACUUAUCUCUCCUCGUGAAGUUAGUACACUCGAACCCUAACGUAGCCGCCAAGAUUCUCUGAACAUAAUUCGCCACGUCAUGCGGCCUCUUCCCUGACGAACACGUAGCCUCAACCGGAAGCUGGUUCAAGAACGUAACCUCGUAAACCGGUCUUGGAUUCAUAAAGAAGAAAAUCGGGUCUAAACCUUUCCAGCCUCUCGCUGUGGUCGCGUGGAAGAAUCCAACUCUAUAGUUCAUAGCAACCGGAACAAUCCUAUCCGUUAACUCAGCGAAAAGUCCGCUAAAUCUUAGCAAGAACGGUUCACGGCAAGUGGUUCCCUCAGGACAAACAACUAGGUCGCCUUUAGACAGCUGUUGUUUGAUCUUUGCUGCGUCUACAUCUCGGACUCUUGUCAAUCUCACGGUUGGUAUGGGAGAUAAGAUCUCGGAUAAGCGUGAGAUUGAGUAAGUAACGGCCGGGAUACUGCGUUCUAGCACGUAUGAUAGUACCACCGGGUCCAUUAGGGUUCUGUGAGUGCACACGAAGAGAACACCGGAGUUUCCGGCCGCCGGUGGCUGAGGAGGCUUGCCUUUGACGAUGACCUGGCCGCCGAGUAUCUUGGAGACGUACGGUGUUGUCCAAAAUGGGAGGACGGAUCCAAGAAAGAUCCGGAUGGCGGCAAGAAUGAUUCCUAAUGGGAUCCAUGUGAGGAUGAGGAGAGACGUCGGUGGAGUUGGCCUCUUGACAAGGCGUCCGUCGUGGAAUAUUACCGGAAGUGGCCGUAGCUCAAGGUUUUUGUUGCGGUGGUUGUAGUUCUCCGGAACUGGUGCAUGAAUAUGCUCCUAUAUAUAUAUGAAUAUUUGAUAUUAGUUUUAAUCAUAAUAUAUAGAAAUUAUAUGUUGUAAAACGUACAAAAAUUUGGGCAUGUUAAAUUAUAUAUUAAAUAAAAAGUGUUGCCAGUUGAAAUUAUUUUUUCAGAAGUGUAACAAUUAAAUUAUUAUAUUUUAUAUGAUUUUGUUCAAGCAAUGUUUACCUCACAUAACGAUAAGAAAGUUGUAGAAAUUGUCUUGCCAGGUCUUGCGAGACCUAUCUGAGGCUUUCUAUCAACAAACAAAUCAGCGACACGGCUCAAAACAGAUUGAUCGAUAUCGGAUUCACGUGUCAAGCCGGUGACAAAACCGAACCGGUUCACUAUCAGCUCUGAACCGAUGACUUCGUCAGC